Molecule: long non-coding RNA, 2052 nt
Filed under: Solanum tuberosum (potato)
Lineage: Eukaryota; Viridiplantae; Streptophyta; Magnoliopsida; Solanales; Solanaceae
Description: long non-coding RNA (STUB_LNC007091)
Source: RNAcentral
UGAUAUGCUGAGAUUGGCUAGAGCUGAGGGCGAGUCAAAUUCGCUGGUACACUCGCUGCACUCCAUAAAAGGAAAACAAAGAAAAAUACAAGUAGGGCUCAGUACGGGGCAACAUGUACUGAGUAGGUAUCAUCGGCCAACCCAAAAUAGAAACUAAUAUACAAUGAAUAAUAGUAUAAAGUCAACUAUAGCACUUAGCAGGUGAUAAGAAACAACAACAUGAACAAGUGACAGUUAAAGCAGGUACGUAAUCGCUCACAAUAUCAAGCACACACACGAGGACUCAUGCCUCCACAGCACACUCGUUUGGGAAAUGCGUUCAUUGAGAUUGAGUACAUUAAGUUAAUUCAAUAUCUUUUUCCUUUAAUGUUACCGUGUCGGAACGUGACACUCCGAUCCAAAAAUACCGUGUCGGAACGUGACACUCCGAUCCAAAAAUACCGUGUCGGAACGUGACACUCCGAUCCAAAAAUACCGUGUCGGAACGUGACACUCCGAUCCAAAAAUACCGUGUCGGAACGUGACACUCCGAUCCAAAAAUACCGUGUCGGAACGUGACACUCCGAUCCAAAAAUACCGUGUCGGAACGUGACACUCCGAUCCAAAAAUACCGUGUCGGAACGUGACACUCCGAUCCAAAAAUACCGUGUCGGAACGUGACACUCCGAUCCAAAAAUACCGUGUCGGAACGUGACACUCCGAUCCAAAAAUACCGUGUCGGAACGUGACACUCCGAUCCAAAAAUACCGUGUCGGAACGUGACACUCCGAUCCAAAAAUACCGUGUCGGAACGUGACACUCCGAUCCAAAAAUACCGUGUCGGAACGUGACACUCCGAUCCAAAAAUACCGUGUCGGAACGUGACACUCCGAUCCAAUAAUAUUAUUAAUUUAUCAUUUAUUAUCACCACUUUUCAAUUCAUUAAUAAUAUUACAUCAAGCCUUCUUUAUUCAAGGCAUCACUUCGAUAGAGAAGUUUACAGAUUAUAAAUCUCACGGUCUCAGGAUUUUAGACCAAUCACAAACCACACAACCAAGCCACACAAUCACACAAUCAAGUACAUAGAGAACUUCACAAUAUCACUCAAUGCAUAUCAAUCACUAUUAAGAGUCUAUCUAUCAAAUAGAAUAAACCAUAACCUACCUCCACCGAAGAACCGAAGUCAAGCAAGCUACUUCUCCAAUACUUUUGCUUUCUUCAAUGACUCCGAACCUUUCCAAUCUAUCAAGUAGAUAUGCAUAAUUUGUAAGUUAACGAACCUAUUAACACUCAUAUUAUUCUGUGUCUCUUCUAAACCCAAAAACUCACCUAAUUCUAUAAUCAACUUAAUAUAUUCUUGAGUCAUAGCAAGAUAACUAUAGAAACAUUGGAACAUUUACUUAAGUGCUACUAACAACAACCCCAACUACGAAACAGAAAACAACCGAGAAAACAAUUUAACAGUCCUAUACCCAAUCUAAAUUUUAACAUAUAAUAUUAACAUGUACUACCUAUCGUUACUCUGUUUGGCCUAACUUUUCUCUCAACCUUCAUCUGACAGCAAUAACUAUACAUAUGCCAAUUAACACUGCCACUUUAGAAUAUAAUAAUAAUAAAUAAUCAAAGUUGAGGCCACUGGUUACGAAACCAGUGGCGAUACUUUUGAACCCAACAUAAAAAUCUUACUAUUGAAGAAAGCCACUUACAUAUAUAAAUAAUAAUAUAUACAUAUAUAGUAUCCUUCAAACCAUUGUAAUACCCUAUUCUCCUCACGUUAUUAAUUUACUUUGUUAAUCCACAAUUUGACCAGUGAUAAUCACGCCUACCACAUCAACCUGAACAACUUCCAAUUUUUAUCGGAUGUCGGCAAUUUCAAUUAUAAUAAUAACGAUAAUAACAUGAUUCAUACCAAUAUACCCAACACAAGAUUUAGGCGAAUGAUUUACCUGAAGUCUAGGGCACUCGCGUUCUUCUUUCGUUCACGCUGCUUUAUGUUAUUCCCCUCUUCCGUUCUUUUCUUUUCCUCUAUAAAUUAUUUUUACCCUAAUUAUAAUAUGACUAAUUAUAAGAGUG